AAGUGCUCCCACCGCCCAGUCCCCGGACCGACUGUCCCACCCGCGACCCAUGCUGGCCCCAGGUUAACGCCUGCAACCCCGGAGGGCCACAAAUCAAAGGUCUGGCAUCUUGACAACAACGCUGUUCUUGUGUGGCUAAGGAGCACUCCAAAGAUGGAUAAUCACAUAUUCAUACCAUGGGACAUGCCCCUCGGAUGCAUCCUCAAGAAGGGAGAAAAGUUUGAACCCCAAACCCUAAAAAGGAAAAGGCUAAUAUUUUUCUGUAACACAGCUUGGGUUGAAUAAAAUCUCCAGGACCAGUAAUGUUGGCCAGAAAACAGAAGCAUAAAUUUU
This 333-nucleotide long non-coding RNA is filed under the name Homo sapiens (human). RNAcentral describes it as "non-protein coding lnc-CXCR6-2:5". The record is from RNAcentral. Lineage: Eukaryota; Metazoa; Chordata; Mammalia; Primates; Hominidae.